Molecule: ribosomal RNA, 476 nt
Filed under: uncultured bacterium
Lineage: Bacteria
Description: partial 16S ribosomal RNA
Rfam family: Bacterial small subunit ribosomal RNA
Source: RNAcentral
GAUGAACGCUGGCGGCGUGCUUAACACAUGCAAGUCGAGCGAGAUUAUUCUUCGGAAUAGUCUAGCGGCGGACGGGUGAGUAACACGUGGGCAACCUGCCUUGUAGAGGGGGAUAGCCUUCCGAAAGGAAGAUUAAUACCGCAUAAUGUUAUUGAAAGGCAUCUUUCGAUAAUCAAAGGAGCAAUCCGCUACAAGAUGGGCCAGCGGCGCAUUAGCUAGUUGGUGAGGUAACGGCUCACCAAGGCAACGAAGCGUAGCCGACCUGAGAGGGUGAUCGGCAACAUUGGGACUGAGACACGGACCAGACUCCUACGGGAGGCAGAAGUGGGGAAUAUUGCACAAUGGGGGAAACCCUGAUGCAGCAACGCCGCGUGAGUGAUGACGGCCUUCGGGUUGUAAAGCUCUGUCUUUGGGGACGAUAAUGACGGUACCCAAGGAGGAGGUCACGGCUAACUACGUGCCAGCCGCCGCAGUAA